AGAAUCAACGCUGGCGGCGUGCCUAACACAUGCAAGUCGAACGAGAAAGUGGAGCAAUCCAUGAGUAAAGUGGCGCACGGGUGAGUAACACGUGACUAACCUACCCUUGAGUGGGGGAUAACCUAGGGAAACCUGGGCUAAUACCGCAUGAUACCUACGGGUCAAAGGAGCAAUUCGCUUAAGCGAGGGGGUCGCGGCCGAUUAGUUAGUUGGCGGGGUAAUGGCCCACCAAGACGAUGAUCGGUAUCCGGCCUGAGAGGGCGCACGGACACACUGGAACUGAAACACGGUCCAGACUCCUACGGGAGGCAGCAGUGGGAAUUUGCGCAAUGGGGGAAACCCUGACGCAGCAACGCCGCGUGGAGGAUGAAGUCCCUUGGGAUGUAAACUCCUUUCGAUCGGGACGAUUAUGACGGUACCGGAAGAAGAAGCCCCGGCUAACUUCGUGCCAGCAGCCGC
RNAcentral lists this ribosomal RNA (459 nucleotides) under uncultured bacterium. Its description in RNAcentral is "SSU rRNA". It matches the Rfam family "Bacterial small subunit ribosomal RNA", at positions 26 to 518 of the family's 1533-position model. The record is from RNAcentral.